This 103-nucleotide ribosomal RNA is filed under the name Diplacus rattanii. Its description in RNAcentral is "partial 5.8S ribosomal RNA". It matches the Rfam family "5.8S ribosomal RNA", at positions 45 to 143 of the family's 154-position model. From Rfam's summary of the family: 5.8S ribosomal RNA (5.8S rRNA) is a component of the large subunit of the eukaryotic ribosome. It is transcribed by RNA polymerase I as part of the 45S precursor that also contains 18S and 28S rRNA. The record is from RNAcentral. Lineage: Eukaryota; Viridiplantae; Streptophyta; Magnoliopsida; Lamiales; Phrymaceae.
GUAGCGAAAUGCGAUACUUGGUGUGAAUUGCAGAAUCCCGUGAACCAUCGAGUCUUUGAACGCAAGUUGCGCCCGAAGCCAUUAGGCCGAGGGCACAUCUGCC